CCCUUAGAUGUUCGGGGCCGCACGCGCGCUACACUGAAUGAAUCAGCGAGUGUAUGUCCUAGGCCGAAAGGUCCGGGUAACCCGUUGAACCUCAUUCGUGAUUGGGAUAGGGACUUGCAAUUGUUUCCCUUGAACGAGGAAUUCCCAGUAAGCGCAAGUCAUCAGCUUGCGUUGAUUACGUCCCUGCCCUUUGUACACACCGCCCGUCGCUCCUACCGAUUGGGUGAGCCGAUGAAACUCUCGGAUGUAGGCUAUUCAUAGCCCGCAGAAGAGAUUUGAAUCGUAGCGCUUAGAGGAAGGAGAAGUCGUAACA
RNAcentral lists this ribosomal RNA (313 nucleotides) under uncultured eukaryote. RNAcentral's name for it is "partial 18S ribosomal RNA". It matches the Rfam family "Eukaryotic small subunit ribosomal RNA", at positions 1470 to 1796 of the family's 1831-position model. The record is from RNAcentral.